RNAcentral lists this ribosomal RNA (204 nucleotides) under uncultured Holophagae bacterium. Its description in RNAcentral is "partial 16S ribosomal RNA". It matches the Rfam family "Bacterial small subunit ribosomal RNA", at positions 1179 to 1382 of the family's 1533-position model. The record is from RNAcentral. Lineage: Bacteria; Pseudomonadati; Acidobacteriota; Holophagae.
AUGACGUCAAGUCAGCAUGGCCUUUGUGUCCAGGGCUACACACGUGCUACAAUGGUUGGUACAAAGGGUUGCCAAGCCGUGAGGCGGAGCCAAUCUCAAAAAGCCAACCUCAGUUCGGAUUGCAGUCUGCAACUCGACUGCAUGAAGUUGGAAUCGCUAGUAAUCGCUGAUCAGCAGGCAGCGGUGAAUACGUUCCCGGGCCUU